AAAAUAAAAAAUAAAAAGAGAAAGACUUUCCCUCUGGUCAAAAAACACACCAAGAGACUAAAAUAGUCUCUCUCUCCAAAAACGAGAAAAGAGAAAAAGAGAAUGGUUCCUCUUCUUCAAGGUUCAACACCAAAAUGGUAACGACGUUAACCACUGCGCCACACUCCUUCACCGCCACCAUGCAACACCACACACACCAAAAUGCGACAACCAUAAAAAAAAACCACACC
Molecule: long non-coding RNA, 230 nt
Filed under: Lathyrus oleraceus (garden pea)
Lineage: Eukaryota; Viridiplantae; Streptophyta; Magnoliopsida; Fabales; Fabaceae
Description: Pisum sativum (pea) long non-coding RNA (PSAT_LNC000016)
Source: RNAcentral